Hymenopellis radicata is the source of this 88-nucleotide non-coding RNA. The record is from the annotation of a GenBank genome assembly. Lineage: Eukaryota; Fungi; Basidiomycota; Agaricomycetes; Agaricales; Physalacriaceae.
GGCCGACUAGCUCAGCUGGUUAGAGCGUCGUGCUAAUACAAAUACAUUGUUAACGCGAAGGUCUUGGGUUCGAUCCCCACGUUGGCCA